CAGGCCUAACACAUGCAAGUCGAGCGGAGAUGAGGUGCUUGCACCUUAUCUUAGCGGCGGACGGGUGAGUAAUGCUUAGGAAUCUGCCUAUUAGUGGGGGACAACAUUUCGAAAGGAAUGCUAAUACCGCAUACGCCCUACGGGGGAAAGCAGGGGAUCUUCGGACCUUGCGCUAAUAGAUGAGCCUAAGUCGGAUUAGCUAGUUGGUGGGGUAAAGGCCUACCAAGGCGACGAUCUGUAGCGGGUCUGAGAGGAUGAUCCGCCACACUGGGACUGAGACACGGCCCAGACUCCUACGGGAGGCAGCAGUGGGGAAUAUUGGACAAUGGGGGGAACCCUGAUCCAGCCAUGCCGCGUGUGUGAAGAAGGCCUUUUGGUUGUAAAGCACUUUAAGCGAGGAGGAGAGAGCUCUAGAUUAAUACUCUAGAUGCUUGGACGUUACUC
RNAcentral lists this ribosomal RNA (444 nucleotides) under uncultured bacterium. RNAcentral describes it as "bacterial SSU rRNA". It matches the Rfam family "Bacterial small subunit ribosomal RNA", at positions 43 to 480 of the family's 1533-position model. The record is from RNAcentral.